RNAcentral lists this long non-coding RNA (1340 nucleotides) under Homo sapiens (human). RNAcentral's name for it is "HSALNT0323089". Lineage: Eukaryota; Metazoa; Chordata; Mammalia; Primates; Hominidae. The record is from RNAcentral.
UCUUUCUCUUUAUAAAUUACCCAGUCUUGAGUAUGUCUUUAUCAGCAGUGUAAAAACGGAUGAACAUACACCGUAAAUGUGACUUUUAUCAUUCAUUUAAGCAUCCUGUUUAUAAAAAUGUAAAUAAUCCAUUUUCACAUAUGCUGUGUUUUCGAUAAAAUAACUUGCUUAAAUCCAAUCCUGGCAUCAUAGAUAAUUUAAGCCAUGGUUUUCUGAUCCCGUCCUCUUUUGUGACUCCAGUCCCACAGACAGGAACCAAAGCCAGCAGAACAAAGCAGCCCCAGAUGUGUUCUACUCUAUUAUCUGAAGUAAAUGAAAAUCAACCCUGAGAAAUAUCAAUAAUAGUGGAAAGUCUCCCACUCUACUUCUACAUAUAUCCUAGUACUGUGUGUGUCAAUCUCAUAUUCUACUGUUGGCCAUGCUGUGUUUCACUGAGAAAAUGGCAAUACUGGUGCUGCUUAUAUAUAAGGUAGGAUUCCCCUCUCACAGAUAGCCACAGCUUUCUUUAAAAGAAGGUACAUUUCCCGAGGAUUAAUCAUUAGGGAAAUUAUUGGUUUCUCCAUUAGCCAGAGUUGUGCAUCACCAGCAACAGAAACCAGCUAUAGCUGACUUAAAGGGAAAAGAAACAUAAAUAUUGGAUAGCUCACAAUAUCAUAAAGAUGACUGAAGAGAUGGUGAGAGAAACAUAAACUAUUUGUAAAUUCUACUCAUUUCCUCCAUAAAAGGGAAUGCAAAAUGUCAUUGAUUUGGGUUAGUUGUACUUCCUAUAUUACAUAAGUAUCACGAUUUGGGGUGACUUUUUACAAGGAGAUAGCAUUAUUUAAUCGUUUUUGAUUUGGGGAGUUAAAAAAGUAUCUUUGCUUUUUGUGCUGGUAGGUGCAUUAUAGGGUCUAAAGUUUUUUUCCUACCUUCCUUCUCACAGGUAGAGAACCUCCUUCUACUACCAUCAAAGUCCUUGAUCUGUUUCCCAACAUGAAUUAACCUUUCCAUGUUUUCGUUACAUUUGAACAUCAGGAAUGUGUAGACGGAAGCAGUUCAUCCUGGGAGGACUUCAAGCAGUAGAAUGAGGCCAACCUGCAAAACUGACCUGUCAUGCCCUGCCUCACCAUCUUAUCCAGUCCUGGACUCAACCAGCUGAACUAAUCCCUAAACCACCAAGUCUACCUUAGAAAAACAGUUCUGGAGGCUGCAAGUCCAAGAUCAAGGUGUCACCAUCAUUGGUUGCUUCUGGGGGCUGUUGAGAAAGAACGUGUUCCAUGCCUCCCACCUAGCAUCUAAAGAAGUGACAUCUUAUUGAUGAGUUGUGGAGAAGCUGCUGAACAUGCAUCUGUAUUUGGGAG